CCCUUCCAUGCCACGCACCGCCAUCGCCGCGUCGAGCACGCUGCCGAGCACCGCCGCCGUCGCCCCGUUCUCGACCGCGAGCACCACGCGCGCGAACGCCACGCCGUCACCGCGCGCACCCCCCACGCCGACCGCCGUUCGCCGCGCGCUGCCGAGCGCACGCCGUCGCCCCGCUCCCGUCCGCUCCAUCGCGCACCGGCCCUCGACGCGUCCCCCGUCGCGCCCGCAUCAUUCCAAGAGUCGGAGGACGAUCGGACUGACGAGGACCGUGAGUAUCGGGAGGAGUUAGGCGACGACUACUCCGAAGGUUCUUACGAUUCAGAGGGAUAUAGUGACUAGGGGAUUCGUGCCUUCGCUCAAGUCGUUGGAGACUCUACUUUCCGCACUUAUCGAGCUGUUCCGGUUGAUAACUUAGAUUUUGUUUCCGCCAUGUGGCAAUGUAAUAAUGUACUACUCUCUAUUCUUAAUGCUUUUGUACGAUGUAUGGAUGAUGAUUAUCAACUGGAAUUGGGUAAUUUGAUUUAAAUGGUCAUUUUA
This is a long non-coding RNA of Sorghum bicolor (sorghum), 537 nucleotides long. RefSeq lists it as uncharacterized. The transcript is spliced from 3 exons. NCBI's taxonomy places the organism in Eukaryota, Viridiplantae, Streptophyta, Magnoliopsida, Poales, Poaceae. The record is from RefSeq and is a predicted model, not a curated record.